UACAGAGGUGGCAAGCGUUGUUCGGAAUUACUGGGCGUAAAGGGCGCGUAGGCGGCUUGGUCAGUCCCGUGUGAAAUCCCUCGGCUCAACUGAGGAACUGCACGGGGAACUGCCUGGCUUGAGUUCGGGAGAGGGAAGCGGAAUUCCGGGUGUAGCGGUGAAAUGCGUAGAUAUCCGGAGGAACACCGGUGGCGAAGGCGGCAUCCUGGACCGGCAUUGACGCUGAGGCGCGAAAGCCAGGGGAGCAAACGGG
Molecule: ribosomal RNA, 253 nt
Filed under: uncultured bacterium
Lineage: Bacteria
Description: partial 16S ribosomal RNA
Rfam family: Bacterial small subunit ribosomal RNA
Source: RNAcentral